ACUUUCUUGCCACCGGGUAAGAAAGUUAAGCGUCUAAAUUUCUAUCGUUAGGUCUUAGAAGAUAGAAAUAAGGACGCUUAUUUUUU
Molecule: non-coding RNA, 86 nt
Filed under: unclassified sequences
Source: RNAcentral